Non-coding RNA from Dipodomys ordii (Ord's kangaroo rat), 60 nucleotides. NCBI's taxonomy places the organism in Eukaryota, Metazoa, Chordata, Mammalia, Rodentia, Heteromyidae. The record is from Rfam.
GGGGAUGUGGCUCAGUGGUACAGCGCUUGCCUAGCAUGCAUGAGCUCUGGUUCAUCCCUA